RNAcentral lists this ribosomal RNA (253 nucleotides) under uncultured bacterium. RNAcentral describes it as "partial 16S ribosomal RNA". It matches the Rfam family "Bacterial small subunit ribosomal RNA", at positions 524 to 776 of the family's 1533-position model. The record is from RNAcentral.
UACGUAGGGGGCAAGCGUUGUCCGGAAUCAUUGGGCGUAAAGAGCGUGUAGGCGGCCCGAUAAGUCCGCCGUGAAAGUCCAGGGCUCAACCCUGGAAUGCCGGUGGAAACUGUCGGGCUGGAGUCCGGAAGAGGCGAGUGGAAUUCCUGGUGUAGCGGUGAAAUGCGCAGAUAUCAGGAGGAACACCAAUAGCGAAGGCAGCUCGCUGGGACGGUAUUGACGCUAAGGCGCGAAAGCGUGGGGAGCAAACAGG